This 619-nucleotide unclassified non-coding RNA is filed under the name Hevea brasiliensis (rubber tree). Lineage: Eukaryota; Viridiplantae; Streptophyta; Magnoliopsida; Malpighiales; Euphorbiaceae. The record is from RNAcentral.
AAAAUUUAUUGGCUUUUUAUAUCCAAUACUCGCUGCCAUUUCAAUUAUUUGUCUACACACUUGUAAAUAAUUAAAAGAAUAAUUUUGUUUUGAUUCACAUUUAAUUGAUUACAACUUAUUCAUCUUACAAUGGAUAAGAUCUUGUCCACAAAUCAUUUCAAUCAUUUAAUGUUCCCUGAAGCAAUGCUGCAACCAAGUUCUUGGUCCCCUCGGACUUAUCCCGUUGCAAUAAAUAUUCUGGCGACUAAAAAGAAGCUCAAAUAGGUUUUGGCCACCGUCUUGAGUGGACCAGAGUUUCGAGAUAUCGUCUCUGAAUGAUAAUCCCAGUGUCCUCGGUAUUGAAGUUCCGCUUGGCAGCGUCAGAUCAUAGGUGGCUUUUGUUACACAGUUCUUGCUGUUGGAUUGGGAAGUGCAAGUUAAAUUUUAUUUUAUGAGAGGGUAAUUUUUGUGCGGACUUAUUGACCAGUUGUACGUCAUCCUUUCCAGUAGGUUCUGGUUCUCAUCAGCUGGCAGAUCCUCCUGCUGCGCUUCCUCAUUGGAACUCUCGUGAUCCUUUUGGUGAUUUUAUGCUUCGCACUGUUGGGUUUAAUUUUGUGAUUUUGAUUUUCCUCACUCACAU